RNAcentral lists this ribosomal RNA (325 nucleotides) under Cosmia trapezina (dun-bar pinion). RNAcentral's name for it is "partial 12S ribosomal RNA". The record is from RNAcentral. Lineage: Eukaryota; Metazoa; Arthropoda; Insecta; Lepidoptera; Noctuidae.
ACAUAUUUUAAUUUUUAAUCAUUUUAUUAAAUUAAAUAAAAUUACAUUUAAAUCCACUUUCAAUUAAUUAUUACAAAUUAAUAUUCAUUUAAAUAAAUUUAUUGUAAUCCAUUAUAUUCUUAAUUAUAAUCUGCAUCUUGAUCUGAUUUAAAUUUAUAUUAUAAUUUUUAAAUAUUAAUUUCAUUAAAAAAUAUUUUUUUAACAACGAUAUACAAAAUUAUAAAUUAAGUAAAUUUAUUCGUGGAUUAUCAAUUAUUAAACAGAUUCCUCUAAAUGAACUAAAAUACCGCCAAAUUAUUUAAGUUUCAAUAAAUAAUUAUUUACU